Molecule: ribosomal RNA, 1425 nt
Filed under: Lactiplantibacillus plantarum
Lineage: Bacteria; Bacillati; Bacillota; Bacilli; Lactobacillales; Lactobacillaceae
Description: bacterial SSU rRNA
Rfam family: Bacterial small subunit ribosomal RNA
Source: RNAcentral
CUAUAAUGCAGUCGACGAACUCUGGUAUUGAUUGGUGCUUGCAUCAUGAUUUACAUUUGAGUGAGUGGCGAACUGGUGAGUAACACGUGGGAAACCUGCCCAGAAGCGGGGGAUAACACCUGGAAACAGAUGCUAAUACCGCAUAACAACUUGGACCGCAUGGUCCGAGUUUGAAAGAUGGCUUCGGCUAUCACUUUUGGAUGGUCCCGCGGCGUAUUAGCUAGAUGGUGGGGUAACGGCUCACCAUGGCAAUGAUACGUAGCCGACCUGAGAGGGUAAUCGGCCACAUUGGGACUGAGACACGGCCCAAACUCCUACGGGAGGCAGCAGUAGGGAAUCUUCCACAAUGGACGAAAGUCUGAUGGAGCAACGCCGCGUGAGUGAAGAAGGGUUUCGGCUCGUAAAACUCUGUUGUUAAAGAAGAACAUAUCUGAGAGUAACUGUUCAGGUAUUGACGGUAUUUAACCAGAAAGCCACGGCUAACUACGUGCCAGCAGCCGCGGUAAUACGUAGGUGGCAAGCGUUGUCCGGAUUUAUUGGGCGUAAAGCGAGCGCAGGCGGUUUUUUAAGUCUGAUGUGAAAGCCUUCGGCUCAACCGAAGAAGUGCAUCGGAAACUGGGAAACUUGAGUGCAGAAGAGGACAGUGGAACUCCAUGUGUAGCGGUGAAAUGCGUAGAUAUAUGGAAGAACACCAGUGGCGAAGGCGGCUGUCUGGUCUGUAACUGACGCUGAGGCUCGAAAGUAUGGGUAGCAAACAGGAUUAGAUACCCUGGUAGUCCAUACCGUAAACGAUGAAUGCUAAGUGUUGGAGGGUUUCCGCCCUUCAGUGCUGCAGCUAACGCAUUAAGCAUUCCGCCUGGGGAGUACGGCCGCAAGGCUGAAACUCAAAGGAAUUGACGGGGGCCCGCACAAGCGGUGGAGCAUGUGGUUUAAUUCGAAGCUACGCGAAGAACCUUACCAGGUCUUGACAUACUAUGCAAAUCUAAGAGAUUAGACGUUCCCUUCGGGGACAUGGAUACAGGUGGUGCAUGGUUGUCGUCAGCUCGUGUCGUGAGAUGUUGGGUUAAGUCCCGCAACGAGCGCAACCCUUAUUAUCAGUUGCCAGCAUUAAGUUGGGCACUCUGGUGAGACUGCCGGUGACAAACCGGAGGAAGGUGGGGAUGACGUCAAAUCAUCAUGCCCCUUAUGACCUGGGCUACACACGUGCUACAAUGGAUGGUACAACGAGUUGCGAACUCGCGAGAGUAAGCUAAUCUCUUAAAGCCAUUCUCAGUUCGGAUUGUAGGCUGCAACUCGCCUACAUGAAGUCGGAAUCGCUAGUAAUCGCGGAUCAGCAUGCCGCGGUGAAUACGUUCCCGGGCCUUGUACACACCGCCCGUCACACCAUGAGAGUUUGUAACACCCAAAGUCGGUGGGGUAACCUUU